ACUGAAUAGAUACCCCGGUAGUCCACGCCCUAAACGAUGUCUACUAGUUGUCGGGGAUUCAUUUCCUUGGUAAACGCAGCUAAACGCGUGAAGUAGACCGCCUGGGGAGUACGGCCGCAAGGUUAAAACUCAAAGGAAUUGACGGGGACCCGCACAAGCGGUGGAUGAUGUGGAUUAAUUCGAUGCAACGCGAAAAACCUUACCUACGCUUGACAUGCCAGGAACUUUCCAGAGAUGGAUUGGUGCCCGAAAGGGAACCUGGACACAGGUGCUGCAUGGCUGUCGUCAGCUCGUGUCGUGAGAUGUUGGGUUAAGUCCCGCAACGAGCGCAACCCUUAUCCUUAGUUGCUACGCAAGGGCACUCUAGGGAGACUGCCGGUGACAAACCGGAGGAAGGUGGGGAUGACGUCAAGUCCUCAUGGCCCUUAUGUGUAGGGCUUCACACGUCAUACAAUGGUCGGUACAGAGGGUCGCAACCCGCGAGGGGUAGCCAAUCCCAGAAAACCCGAUCGUAGUCCGGAUUGCAGUCUGCAACUCGACUGC
This 543-nucleotide ribosomal RNA is filed under the name uncultured bacterium. RNAcentral's name for it is "bacterial SSU rRNA". It matches the Rfam family "Bacterial small subunit ribosomal RNA", at positions 772 to 1319 of the family's 1533-position model. The record is from RNAcentral.